This 465-nucleotide ribosomal RNA is filed under the name uncultured bacterium. RNAcentral describes it as "bacterial SSU rRNA". It matches the Rfam family "Bacterial small subunit ribosomal RNA", at positions 66 to 524 of the family's 1533-position model. The record is from RNAcentral.
ACGGCAGCACGGGAGCAAUCCUGGUGGCGAGUGGCGAACGGGUGAGUAAUAUAUCGGAACGUGCCCAGUCGUGGGGGAUAACGCAGCGAAAGCUGUGCUAAUACCGCAUACGAUCUCUGGAUGAAAGCGGGGGACUCGCAAGGGCCUCGCGCGAUUGGAGCGGCCGAUAUCAGAUUAGCUAGUUGGUGGGGUAAAAGCCCACCAAGGCGACGAUCUGUAGCUGGUCUGAGAGGACGACCAGCCACACUGGAACUGAGACACGGUCCAGACUCCUACGGGAGGCAGCAGUGGGGAAUUUUGGACAAUGGGCGAAAGCCUGAUCCAGCAAUGCCGCGUGCAGGAUGAAGGCCUUAGGGUUGUAAACUGCUUUUGUACGGAACGAAACGGUCUCUCUUAAUACGAGGGGCUAAUGACGGUACCGUAAGAAUAAGCACCGGCUAACUACGUGCCAGCAGCCGCGGUAAU